Molecule: ribosomal RNA, 252 nt
Filed under: uncultured bacterium
Lineage: Bacteria
Description: partial 16S ribosomal RNA
Rfam family: Bacterial small subunit ribosomal RNA
Source: RNAcentral
UACGUAGGGGGCAAGCGUUGUCCGGAUUUAUUGGGCGUAAAGAGCGUGUAGGCGGCCUACAGGUCUGCUGUGAAAACUCGAGGCUCAACCUCGAGAUGUCGGCGGAAACCGUCUGGCUAGAGUCCGGAAGAGGAGAGUGGAAUUCCUGGUGUAGCGGUGAAAUGCGCAGAUAUCAGGAAGAACACCUAUGGCGAAGGCAGCUCUCUGGGACGGUACUGACGCUGAGACGCGAAAGCGUGGGGAGCGAACAGG